Molecule: ribosomal RNA, 472 nt
Filed under: uncultured bacterium
Lineage: Bacteria
Description: bacterial SSU rRNA
Rfam family: Bacterial small subunit ribosomal RNA
Source: RNAcentral
ACUCCUACGGGAGGCAGCAGUGGGGAAUAUUGCACAAUGGGCGCAAGCCUGAUGCAGCCAUGCCGCGUGUGUGAAGAAGGCCUUCGGGUUGUAAAGCACUUUCAGUUGUGAGGAAGGUGGUGUCGUUAAUAGCGGCAUCAUUUGACGUUAGCAACAGAAGAAGCACCGGCUAACUCCGUGCCAGCAGCCGCGGUAAUACGGAGGGUGCGAGCGUUAAUCGGAAUUACUGGGCGUAAAGCGCAUGCAGGUGGUUUGUUAAGUCAGAUGUGAAAGCCCGGGGCUCAACCUCGGAAUUGCAUUUGAAACUGGCAGGCUAGAGUCUUGUAGAGGGGGUAGAAUUUCAGGUGUAGCGGUGAAAUGCGUAGAGAUCUGAAGGAAUACCAGUGGCGAAGGCGGCCCCCUGGACAAAGACUGACGCUCAGAUGCGAAAGCGUGGGGAGCAAACAGGAUUAGAUACCCUGGUAGCACAGAG